RNAcentral lists this long non-coding RNA (406 nucleotides) under Marmota monax (woodchuck). Lineage: Eukaryota; Metazoa; Chordata; Mammalia; Rodentia; Sciuridae. The record is from RNAcentral.
GAGGAUCGAACCCGGGCCACACGCAUGCCAGGCGAGCGCGCUACCGCUUGAGCCACAUCCCAGCCCCUGCUACAGAAACCUUUAAGAACACGGAACUACUUAAUGGGACAUUGUUUCCAUAACUAGGGUAACGGGGCUCUGUUUCUGUGACUGGGGUGACUGGACUAACCGUGAUUGGUUAGGCUUACCACCGCUUGACUGCACUCUCCUGCUUCUGUAACCUGGCUUGCUUGCAUUGGCUAGACCCCCUCGCCCCCCGAACAUCCCCUUUGCGGUUUUCAGGCUUAUAAGGAGCGCCCUUGCAAUUGUUCAGGGCUGAUCAGGGGAACAGCUUUAUGUUGUGGUCAGCCACCACCAGUGUGCUUCAAUAAAGGCUUGAUUCGAUUAUACGUGAGUGGUCUGGAAG